AUGCAUGAAAGUACUCGUACUGUGUCACCACCACAACCGAAGCGGUGGCUUCCUCCUCCGAGUGGCAUCGCGAAGAUUAACGUGGAUGGAGCAGUAGUGAGAUCCCGGCGAGGUGGGGCAGUUGCAGCUCUAUGCCGCGACUAGGACGGACACUACCUAGGGUCAUCGGCGGUGGUUUACUAUGGAAUCGCUGAUCCUUUAACUUUGGAGACGUUUGCAUGCCGCGAAUCCCUUGCUUUGGCUGACGACCUGGGUGAGCAGAAGGUGCGCGUGGCCUCGGACUGCGAAGAGGCGGUGAACGACAUCAACAGGGGUACUGGAGGCCCUAAUGCCGCUUUGGUGCAUGAAAUAACGAAUCACUGUAAUAGCUUUAUUUCUUGCUCUUUUGUUUUUUGUUUUCGAGCGUAG
This 408-nucleotide ribosomal RNA is filed under the name Triticum aestivum (bread wheat). Its description in RNAcentral is "partial small subunit ribosomal RNA". Lineage: Eukaryota; Viridiplantae; Streptophyta; Magnoliopsida; Poales; Poaceae. The record is from RNAcentral.